RNAcentral lists this ribosomal RNA (221 nucleotides) under uncultured bacterium. RNAcentral's name for it is "partial 16S ribosomal RNA". It matches the Rfam family "Bacterial small subunit ribosomal RNA", at positions 96 to 334 of the family's 1533-position model. The record is from RNAcentral.
UGGCGCACGGGUGCGUAACGCGUGGGAAUCUGCCCUUGGGUUCGGAAUAACAGUUAGAAAUGACUGCUAAUACCGGAUAAUGUCUUCGGACCAAAGAUUUAUUGCCCAAGGAUGAGCCCGCGUAGGAUUAGCUAGUUGGUGAGGUAAAAGCUCACCAAGGCGACGAUCCUUAGCUGGUCUGAGAGGAUGAUCAGCUACACUGGGACUGAGACACGGCCCAG